AUUGAACGCUGGCGGCAGGCCUAACACAUGCAAGUCGAACGAGUGGCGGACGGGUGAGUAACGCAUCGGAACGUGCCCGGUAGUGGGGGAUAACUAUCCGAAACGACAGCUAAUACCGCAUACUAUUCGAUCGGCCGAUUUCUGAUUAGCUGGUUGGGGGGGUAAAGGCACACCAAGGCGACGAUCCGUAGCUGGUCUGAGAGGAUGAUCAGCCACACUGGGACUGAGACACGGCCCAGACUCCUACGGGAGGCAGCAGUGGGGAAUUUUGGACAAUGGGCGCAAGCCUGAUCCAGCCAUGCCGCGUGUAUGAAGAAGGCCUUAGGGUUGUAAAGUACUUUCAGCAGGGAAGCGGUACCUGAAGAAUAAGCACCGGCUAACUACGUGCCAGCAGCCGCGGUAAUUC
This 406-nucleotide ribosomal RNA is filed under the name uncultured bacterium. Its description in RNAcentral is "partial 16S ribosomal RNA". It matches the Rfam family "Bacterial small subunit ribosomal RNA", at positions 30 to 526 of the family's 1533-position model. The record is from RNAcentral.